CAGUCGCCGCGGGAAUACGAAGGGUGCAAGCGUUAAUCGGAAUUACCGGGCGUAAAGCGUGCGUAGGCGGUUUGUUAAGUCUGUUGUGAAAUCCCCGGGCUCAACCUGGGAAUGGCAAUGGAUACUGGCAAGCUAGAGUGUGUCAGAGGAUGGUGGAAUUCCCGGUGUAGCGGUGAAAUGCGUAGAGAUCGGGAGGAACAUCAGUGGCGAAGGCGGCCAUCUGGGACAACACUGACGCUGAGGCACGAAAGCGUGGGGAGCAAACAGGAUUAGAUACCCCUGUAGUCCCUGUCUCUUAUAC
This 301-nucleotide ribosomal RNA is filed under the name uncultured bacterium. RNAcentral describes it as "partial 16S ribosomal RNA". It matches the Rfam family "Bacterial small subunit ribosomal RNA", at positions 509 to 807 of the family's 1533-position model. The record is from RNAcentral.